CGGUUACCUUGUUACGACUUCACCCCAGUCACCAGACCUGCCUUCGGCAGCUCCCUCCUUCCGGUUGGGCCACUGACUUCGGGCAUUUCCGGCUCCCAUGGUGUGACGGGCGGUGUGUACAAGACCCGGGAACGUAUUCACCGCGACAUUCUGAUCCGCGAUUACUAGCGAUUCCGGCUUCAUGUAGUCGGGUUGCAGACUACAAUCCGAACUGGGGCGCCGUUUUUGGGAUUUGCUCCACGUCGCCGCUUCGCUUCCCUUUGUCGGCGCCAUUGUAGCACGUGUGUAGCCCAAGCCAUAAGGGGCAUGAUGAUUUGACGUCGUCCCCGCCUUCCUCCGGGUUGUCCCCGGCAGUCUCCCCAGAGUGCCCGCCGCUGCGCGCUGGCUACUGGGGACAGGGGUUGCGCUCGUUGCGGGACUUAACCCAACAUCUCACGACACGAGCUGACGACAACCAUGCACCACCUGUCUUUCCUGCCCCAAAGGGAACAUACAUUACAUAUGCUGC
RNAcentral lists this ribosomal RNA (508 nucleotides) under uncultured bacterium. RNAcentral describes it as "partial 16S ribosomal RNA". The record is from RNAcentral.